RNAcentral lists this long non-coding RNA (1429 nucleotides) under Homo sapiens (human). Lineage: Eukaryota; Metazoa; Chordata; Mammalia; Primates; Hominidae. The record is from RNAcentral.
GUUCUCAAGAGAUCUGACAGUUUUAUAAGGGUCUUUUCCCCUUUUGCUCAGCACUUCUCCUUCCUGCCUGCCACCAUGUGAAGAAGGAUGUGUUUGCUUCCCCUUCCACCAUGACUGUAAGUUUCCUGAGGCCUCCCCAGCCAUGCUGAACGAUACAGAAACUGAGGCUGGGGCAGGUCCUGGAGGCUUGGUGUGAACCACAACUAUACAGCUUUAGACUCUAAGUUUUUAUCCACAGGGCUAAAUGUCAGGUUUACUUGGAAAAAAAAUAAAAGUGGAAGAUGAAAUUAGAAAGAUGGGCCCGUGUAAGAUUGUGAAGAGGCUUGAAUGCUCAGCUCAGGAGUACCGGUUAACAAGUUACAUGGUAUUGUACCUAUGUCACUGGUCCCUGAUCAACACAGCACCAGAGCGCCCUGGGAACAGGGAAACGGUACUCACGGUCAUGGACCUUGUAGCAGUGCGUCUGCAAGCGCUUCACGUCCCAUUCCUCUAGCACGCCAUGGGUCAUCAGCAACUGGAGGAAGCGCCGGUGGACAUCAGUCAUGACGCCCAUUCUCCUUGUGCUGCCCUGCAUGUGGGAACGAACUGAAAAGGAAGUAAAUGACACUAGUCAACCCCAAGCACAUCAGAAGCAACGUCCUGGGUCUUGUACUAAUUUACAUUAACAAAUAUAAAUUUGCUAUCAUUUUUAAAAGUCAUUCUUCAUGCUGUUUACUACAAAGGUGAGAAGAAGAACACGAGUCACAGCAUCAGGACUGGGCAGUGGUAAGAGGUGUGGAUUCUGGAGCUAGAAUGCCGGGAUUCAGGGCCUGGCUCUCCCACUUACUAGGCGUGUGAGAUUGAGCAACUUAGUCCCCACAGGCUUUGGUUUCUGAUCUGUAAAGUGGGACUAAUGAUAGAAACGUCCUCUGCAGAACUGCUACGAAGAUUAGAUGGGUUAAUACAUGUAAUAGCCUGGUAACACAGUAAGCACUAAAUAAGUCUGAGCUAUUUUUACUAUCAGGCAAUUCUGGGUCUAACCCUUGGCUGAGCCUUUUUACCAGAUCUAUGGCCUUGGAGAAAUUGAGCAGAGGCCCCGUUUUCUCACCAUAAAAUUAUAAUGAAGUUCAUUACUGAGAGAACUACUAGUAAACACUUAAUAAAUGUUAGUUUCCUCCUCUCCCCAAACCACUAAUAAAACAACUAUCAUGGCAGGACUUCAGACUAUUUUCGAAAUCUCCUGCUCACUAACAAAAUGGGAUCUUUCCGUAAACCACAAAGAUCACAGUUAAUAAAACUAUUCCACAAGCCCUGAUCAAAACGCUGGCUACUGCCAUGGAGCACGCAGUGCAGGGGCUAAGAAUGUGAAUUUGGAACUAAACAGGAAGCACUGAGACCAGAAAGUCCCAGAUCUGCCUGAUCCUAAGGAUUUCCUAAUGUGCAUUUUAAC